AGCGUACACGGUGGAUGCCCUGGCAGUCAGAGGCGAUGAAGGACGUGCUAAUCUGCGAAAAGCGUCGGUAAGGUGAUAUGAACCGUUAUAACCGGCGAUGUCCGAAUGGGGAAACCCAGUGCAAUUCGUUGCACUAUCGUUAACUGAAUACAUAGGUUAACGAGGCGAACCGGGGGAACUGAAACAUCUAAGUACCCCGAGGAAAAGAAAUCAACCGAGAUUCCCCCAGUAGCGGCGAGCGAACGGGGAGCAGCCCAGAGUCUGAAUCAGCUUGUGUGUUAGUGGAACGGUCUGGAAAGUCCGACGGUACAGGGUGAUAGUCCCGUACACCAAAAUGCACAGGCUGUGAACUCGAAGAGUAGGGCGGGACACGUGGUAUCCUGUCUGAAUAUGGGGGGACCAUCCUCCAAGGCUAAAUACUCCUGACUGACCGAUAGUGAACCAGUACCGUGAGGGAAAGGCGAAAAGAACCCCGGCGAGGGGAGUGAAAAAGAACCUGAAACCGUGUACGUACAAGCAGUGGGAGCACCUUUAUGGUGUGACUGCGUACCUUUUGUAUAAUGGGUCAGCGACUUAUAUUCUGUAGCAAGGUUAACCGUAUAGGGGAGCCGCAGGGAAACCGAGUCUUAACUGGGCGUUAAGUUGCAGGGUAUAGACCCGAAACCCGGUGAUCUAGCCAUGGGCAGGUUGAAGGUUGGGUAACACUAACUGGAGGACCGAACCGACUAAUGUUGAAAAAUUAGCGGAUGACUUGUGGCUGGGGGUGAAAGGCCAAUCAAACCGGGAGAUAGCUGGUUCUCCCCGAAAGCUAUUUAGGUAGCGCCUCGUGAACUCAUCUUCGGGGGUAGAGCACUGUUUCGGCUAGGGGGUCAUCCCGACUUACCAACCCGAUGCAAACUACGAAUACCGAAGAAUGUUAUCACGGGAGACACACGGCGGGUGCUAACGUCCGUCGUGAAGAGGGAAACAACCCAGACCGCCAGCUAAGGUCCCAAAGUCAUGGUUAAGUGGGAAACGAUGUGGGAAGGCACAGACAGCCAGGAUGUUGGCUUAGAAGCAGCCAUCAUUUAAAGAAAGCGUAAUAGCUCACUGGUCGAGUCGGCCUGCGCGGAAGAUGUAACGGGGCUAAACCAUGCACCGAAGCUGCGGCAGCGACACUAUGUGUUGUUGGGUAGGGGAGCGUUCUGUAAGCCUGCGAAGGUGGCCUGUGAGGGUUGCUGGAGGUAUCAGAAGUGCGAAUGCUGACAUAAGUAACGAUAAAGCGGGUGAAAAGCCCGCUCGCCGGAAGACCAAGGGUUCCUGUCCAACGUUAAUCGGGGCAGGGUGAGUCGACCCCUAAGGCGAGGCCGAAAGGCGUAGUCGAUGGGAAACAGGUUAAUAUUCCUGUACUUGGUGUUACUGCGAAGGGGGGACGGAGAAGGCUAUGUUAGCCGGGCGACGGUUGUCCCGGUUUAAGCAUGUAGGCUGGUUAUCCAGGCAAAUCCGGAUAAUCAAGGCUGAGGUGUGAUGACGAGGCACUACGGUGCUGAAGUAACAAAUGCCCUGCUUCCAGGAAAAGCCUCUAAGCAUCAGGUAACAUCAAAUCGUACCCCAAACCGACACAGGUGGUCAGGUAGAGAAUACCAAGGCGCUUGAGAGAACUCGGGUGAAGGAACUAGGCAAAAUGGUGCCGUAACUUCGGGAGAAGGCACGCUGGUGUGUAGGUGAAGUCCCUGCGGAUGGAGCUGAGACCAGUCGAAGAUACCAGCUGGCUGCAACUGUUUAUUAAAAACACAGCACUGUGCAAACACGAAAGUGGACGUAUACGGUGUGACGCCUGCCCGGUGCCGGAAGGUUAAUUGAUGGGGUUAUCCGUAAGGAGAAGCUCUUGAUCGAAGCCCCGGUAAACGGCGGCCGUAACUAUAACGGUCCUAAGGUAGCGAAAUUCCUUGUCGGGUAAGUUCCGACCUGCACGAAUGGCGUAAUGAUGGCCAGGCUGUCUCCACCCGAGACUCAGUGAAAUUGAACUCGCUGUGAAGAUGCAGUGUACCCGCGGCAAGACGGAAAGACCCCGUGAACCUUUACUAUAGCUUGACACUGAACAUUGAGCCUUGAUGUGUAGGAUAGGUGGGAGGCUUUGAAGCGUGGACGCCAGUCUGCGUGGAGCCAACCUUGAAAUACCACCCUUUAAUGUUUGAUGUUCUAACGUUGGCCCCUUAUCGGGGUUGCGGACAGUGUCUGGUGGGUAGUUUGACUGGGGCGGUCUCCUCCCAAAGCGUAACGGAGGAGCACGAAGGUUAGCUAAUCCUGGUCGGACAUCAGGAGGUUAGUGCAAUGGCAUAAGCUAGCUUGACUGCGAGCGUGACGGCGCGAGCAGGUGCGAAAGCAGGUCAUAGUGAUCCGGUGGUUCUGAAUGGAAGGGCCAUCGCUCAACGGAUAAAAGGUACUCCGGGGAUAACAGGCUGAUACCGCCCAAGAGUUCAUAUCGACGGCGGUGUUUGGCACCUCGAUGUCGGCUCAUCACAUCCUGGGGCUGAAGUAGGUCCCAAGGGUAUGGCUGUUCGCCAUUUAAAGUGGUACGCGAGCUGGGUUUAGAACGUCGUGAGACAGUUCGGUCCCUAUCUGCCGUGGGCGCUGGAGAAUUGAGGGGGGCUGCUCCUAGUACGAGAGGACCGGAGUGGACGCAUCACUGGUGUUCGGGUUGUCAUGCCAAUGGCACUGCCCGGUAGCUAAAUGCGGAAGAGAUAAGUGCUGAAAGCAUCUAAGCACGAAACUUGCCCCGAGAUGAGUUCU
This 2772-nucleotide ribosomal RNA is filed under the name human gut metagenome. Its description in RNAcentral is "bacterial LSU rRNA". It matches the Rfam family "Bacterial large subunit ribosomal RNA". The record is from RNAcentral.